UUGAACGCUGGCGGAAUGCUUUACACAUGCAAGUCGAACGGCAGCACGGGGGCAACCCUGGUGGCGAGUGGCGAACGGGUGAGUAACACAUCGGAACGCGUCCUGUAAUGGGGGAUAACCUGGCGAAAGCCAGGCUAAUACCGCAUACGUCCUGAGGGAGAAAGCGGGGGAUCGCAAGACCUCGCGUUAUAGGAGCGGCCGAUGUCGGAUUAGCUAGUUGGUGGGGUAAAGGCCUACCAAGGCGACGAUCCGUAGCGGGUCUGAGAGGACGGUCCACCACACUGGGACUGAGACACGGCCCAGACUCCUACGGGAGGCAGCAGUGGGGAAUUUUGGACAAUGGGCGCAAGCCUGAUCCAGCCAUGCCGCGUGAGUGAAGAAGGCCUUCGGGUUGUAAAGCUCUUUCGGCCGGGAAGAAAUCGCAUCCGCUAAUACGGGGUGUGGAUGACGGUACCGGAAGAAGAAGCACCGGCUAACUACGU
RNAcentral lists this ribosomal RNA (482 nucleotides) under uncultured bacterium. RNAcentral describes it as "bacterial SSU rRNA". It matches the Rfam family "Bacterial small subunit ribosomal RNA", at positions 29 to 506 of the family's 1533-position model. The record is from RNAcentral.